UUCACGUAAUUCUUUCAACUCCGUCUCAAGCGCUGAGGAGGCCUUGCACUCGCACCCAUCCUUUCUUGCAGCCCCUUCACCUGUUGACUUCUCAGGACCAGCUGAACGGUAACUUACUUCCUUUGACAACAAACUGAACACGAACAAAAAAUACAAAGAUUGUUAGCAUUCGUACAGAGGGUAAGAAUCAGAUUGUCUUAUAUUUAUUCUAAAUAUUCAGAUCGGUGAUGCAAUUUCUGUAAGAAUGAGUGAAGGACAAAAUCAUGUAUAAAACUAUUCACUGAGCAUAUAUACCUUUACUUUGACAGCACAUGGUUGUCAGGACACAAUUAUGGUAGCAUGACGCAAACCAUUAAAAAAAUCUAAGAAAUGGAACAUGGAAAAUUUGUAAUUGGUAAUUCCUUGUUAAAUCGUAAAAAUUAUAUAUCCUAUUUCAGAUGUUAGAUUCAAGAAGACAAAUAAUUCAACAUUGUCAAUUAGGAAAUCUACCACAUCUACCCACCUCUUAAGCUGGUUCUUAUACAUGUCAUUUGCCUCUAAAGCUUCGGCAAGUUCAUUCUCAAGAUUCUGAAUCUUUGACAAAUGAUCCACUCCUUUAUCUUGAGAAGUUUCAUUAUUGCAGUUUUGACUCUUAUCAAUCUGAAACAAAAAAGAGUAAUAAUAUAAGGUGCUUGAGCAGUUUGUUUCUUCCCAGUCAGACAUAACCUCUACAAACUGAUGGCCCAAUCUAAAAGAUUAAGAUCACCUAGCAUGGAUUUUUAAAAAAAUAAAAAAAAAAAACGUAUACAUUAACCUGUGUAUGAUUUUCCUCUAAAUGAUGUUGUACUUGGUUGAUUCCAGUGAACAGCUUCUCACUUGAUAGCAGGUUAUUGUUCUCUUCUAUGCUCUGCCGUUUCAGAAGCAAAAAUUACAAAUCCUUAAAAAAUCUUUAAUGAAGUCAAGUACAUAAUGAGAAAGGAAAAUUCUUAACUCUAACUAUCUGAGAGAUUCAAAUUAUUAUUGAUAGAAGUAUUAACUCUAACUGUCUGAGAGAUUCAAAUUAUUAUUGAUAGAUGUACUUGUAUACUUGGAAUUAGGGUAAAAAAGAGACUCACAUUCUUGGACUCGCAUUGAUCCUGUUUAAUCUGUUUCAGUUCAUCUUCAAGAGCUUGAGUUUUCUUCAGGCACUCUUCUUUCUCCUCCUCAAGGUACUUUAUCUUCCUCUGGAAUUGGCUGUUUUCUCUUCUAAUUUGGGCUAGCUCGUUUUUCAGUGCAGCUUCUUGAGUUCCCAUGGCUUCUUUUGCAGUUAAAUCACCCUGUAGCCGUAAGACCUUUUCUUCAAGGGCAACUUUCCUACGUCUGCAAUCCUCUAAGUCAGAAACAGCUUCCUGACUAUUAGAGAUUUUCUGAACAAAAAGGGUUCUUUCAACCUUAAGUUCUUCAU
This 1423-nucleotide long non-coding RNA is filed under the name Theobroma cacao (cacao). RNAcentral's name for it is "long non-coding RNA (TCAC_LNC005808)". The record is from RNAcentral. Lineage: Eukaryota; Viridiplantae; Streptophyta; Magnoliopsida; Malvales; Malvaceae.